UCCGUAGACCAUUCGUCUUAUUUAAAAUUUUUUUGCAAUUAAUAUUUUUAUUAUUACUAGAUGAUAAAAUAUGAAUAGUACUUUAUACGUGACUAAUUUUUUAGGUUUUUGCACAAAUUUUUUUAAAUAAGACGAAAGGUCAAACGUUGGACAUGAAAAAAC
RNAcentral lists this microRNA precursor (162 nucleotides) under Oryza brachyantha (malo sina). RNAcentral describes it as "MIR812 microRNA precursor family". It matches the Rfam family "MIR812 microRNA precursor family", at positions 31 to 190 of the family's 205-position model. The record is from Rfam by way of RNAcentral. Lineage: Eukaryota; Viridiplantae; Streptophyta; Magnoliopsida; Poales; Poaceae.